GAUGAACGCUGGCGGCGUGUCUAAGGCAUGCAAGUCGAGUGGGUUUAGACCCACGGCAAACGGGUGAGUAACACAUUGGUAACCUACCUCGAAGUGUGGCAUAACCUGUCGAAAGACGGGAUAAUUCCACAUGUGCUCUAGUGAUGAUGUCAUUAGAGUAAAGAUUUAUCGCUUCGAGAGGGGCCUAUGGCCUAUCAGCUAGUUGGUAAGGUAAUGGCUUACCAAGGCUAUGACGGGUAGCGGGGGUGAGAGCGCGACCCGCCUCACUGGGACUGAGACACUGCCCAGACUCCUACGGGAGGCUG
Molecule: ribosomal RNA, 305 nt
Filed under: uncultured Parcubacteria group bacterium
Lineage: Bacteria
Description: bacterial SSU rRNA
Rfam family: Bacterial small subunit ribosomal RNA
Source: RNAcentral